CGAGCAUGGAACGCUCAGAGAAUUCACUCAAUUCGCAUCUAAUACACGUCUAUUUCUUCAAAUUCUCUAGAAAUUAGCAAUUGCAGAAAUAGUCCUCUCUGCGCUUCUUUACCAAUCCCCGAAAGCCUAUGAUUCUUGCCCAAUGCAGACAUUAAUUAUGGGUAAUCGAGAUGGAAUUGAUGACUUCUCCAGCACAAGUGCUUCUGUUCUUCUUUCAGUUCUCAAGCUUAUUGACGAACAUGAUUUGUACGGGCAAGUUGCAUACCCCAAACACCACAAGCAGUCUGAUGUUCCUGAUAUAUACUGUCUUGCAGCAAAGACAAAGACAGCAGGACAUUAAGGAGCGAGCCCUAGGGUUCGAGUAGAAGGCGGCAGUGUCCGACCGUGUUCAAGCAGACGGCGGCGAAGACCUGUUUUCUGGCGUUGUCUGAGUGGUUUUUCUCUCCUCAGUUUCUUCCUAGGCGUGGAGAUCGGUGAGAAAAGGUUUGUGUUUUUGAAUCGGCGAAGGUUGAUCUUUGAAUCGGUAACGGUUGAUCGGUGUUCGGAUUGGUCGACCCGGGUUAUAGGUUCAAGGAUCGACCUUGGAUUGCUCCCCAUCAAAGUGGUGUCGCCGUCUCAGGCUGCAUCUCAUCGGAAUUGAAAUCUGGUCAAGGUCGGCCUUCGUUUUUGAGGUCGACGUUGAUCUCCAGAUCUGUGGUGUUUGUUGGCUGAUCGAAAGAAUGGAUGCAAGGAUGGUUGCCUGGGUCGGACGUCCCCCGGACUGGGCGGAGGCGACUGCGGCGGCGGUCGGCUGGCAGCGGGGUGGUGCUCUGGCCAGCAUUUUGUCUGGGCUUAGGCCUCUGGGCCUGGACCUGGACUGUAUGGCCUUAAUCUCUGGGUCUAUUUGAGUAGGUCUAAUUCUUUUCAGAAUUGGACUGCGUUGGAGGGUGCCUUGACACCCUCAUUCAUUACUUAGUGCUUUGGGCUGGCCUGGCCAGAGAGUUUUGACCUCCUUGGGUGAUGUUGGGCCUUUAUGGUCUCUAAAGUGUCAGUCGCAAUUUGGAUCAUGGUUCUACGGAAUUGGUAAUUAUCUCGAGUUGGACUAGAGAAAGCGGCUUAUGGAUGAGGAAUUGACUCCUAUUUCUUUGCUGGGAAGUAGUGUUCUAUUUCGUACCACAAUUGCGUGAUUGGCGGAUGGUUGGCUAGAAGAUGAUUUUGCCUCAGAAGACACGGAGUUGUGCUUUGUUUAUGAGUCCGCUUUAAAAGUGGGCUCCAUUUGACUUGUAAUGAGUUUGCAGUACUUAGAUAGGAGUUUGGUUGUUACCCCGCCAUUUUUCUGUCUGGUAAGGGUAUGUAGACUAUGGCUUUUCAGCUGGUCAUCUAUGAUAUGAACCUUCUAUUCAAAAAAAAAAAUGUAAUUACUUUUUCUGGUUGUUUA
Molecule: long non-coding RNA, 1417 nt
Organism: Rosa chinensis
Lineage: Eukaryota; Viridiplantae; Streptophyta; Magnoliopsida; Rosales; Rosaceae
Exons: 4
Source: RefSeq, a predicted model, not a curated record